This 519-nucleotide ribosomal RNA is filed under the name uncultured eukaryote. RNAcentral's name for it is "SSU rRNA". It matches the Rfam family "Eukaryotic small subunit ribosomal RNA", at positions 1161 to 1697 of the family's 1831-position model. The record is from RNAcentral.
AGGGCACCACCAGGAGUGGAGCCUGCGGCUUAAUUUGACUCAACACGGGGAAACUCACCCGGCCCGGACACUGGAAGGAUUGACAGAUUGAGAGCUCUUUCUUGAUUCAGUGGGUGGGGGGGCAUGGCCGUUCUUAGUUGGGGGAGUGAUUUGUCUGGUUAAUUCCGAUAACGAACGAGACUCUAGCCUACUAAAUAGGCCUCGGCAUUCUUUGUACUGUCGAGGCGCUUCUUAGAGGGACAGGCGGCGUUUCAGCCGCAUGAGAAAGAGCAAUAACAGGUCUGUGAUGCCCUUAGAUGUCCGGGGCCGCACUCGCGCUACACUGAAGAGAUCAGCGUGCAUGUACUUCCUACUCCGAAAGGAGCGGGAAACCGAGUGAACCUUUUUCGUGCUUGGGAUUGGGGAUUGUAAUUAUUCUCCAUGAACGAGGAAUUCCCAGUAAGCACAAGUCAUCAGCUUGCGUUGAUUACGUCCCUGCCCUUUGUACACACCGCCCGUCGCUACUACCGAUUGGAUGUU